RNAcentral lists this ribosomal RNA (492 nucleotides) under uncultured bacterium. RNAcentral describes it as "partial 16S ribosomal RNA". It matches the Rfam family "Bacterial small subunit ribosomal RNA", at positions 29 to 507 of the family's 1533-position model. The record is from RNAcentral.
AGUGAACGCUGGCGGUAGGCCUAACACAUGCAAGUCGAACGGCAGCACGGUAAGAGCUUGCUCUUACGGGUGGCGAGUGGCAGACGGGUGAGGAAUACAUCGGAAUCUACUUUUUCGUGGGGGAUAACGUAGGGAAACUUACGCUAAUACCGCAUACGACCUACGGGUGAAAGCAGGGGAUCUUCGGACCUUGCGCGAUUGAAUGAGCCGAUGUCGGAUUAGCUAGUUGGCGGGGUAAAGGCCCACCAAGGCGACGAUCCGUAGCUGGUCUGAGAGGAUGAUCAGCCACACUGGAACUGAGACACGGUCCAGACUCCUACGGGAGGCAGCAGUGGGGAAUAUUGGACAAUGGGCGCAAGCCUGAUCCAGCCAUACCGCGUGGGUGAAGAAGGCCUUCGGGUUGUAAAGCCCUUUUGUUGGGAAAGAAAAGCAGCAGGUUAAUACCCCGCUGUUCUGACGGUACCCAAAGAAUAAGCACCGGCUAACUUCGUG